GUUUUAAUAAUUUAAAUAAAAAUAUUGAUCUUGUAAAUCAAAAAUAAUAAACACUAUUUUAAAACU
RNAcentral lists this transfer RNA (66 nucleotides) under Speleketor irwini. RNAcentral's name for it is "tRNA-Thr". The record is from RNAcentral. Lineage: Eukaryota; Metazoa; Arthropoda; Insecta; Psocodea; Prionoglarididae.